Molecule: ribosomal RNA, 172 nt
Filed under: uncultured Anoxybacillus sp.
Lineage: Bacteria; Bacillati; Bacillota; Bacilli; Caryophanales; Anoxybacillaceae
Description: partial 16S ribosomal RNA
Rfam family: Bacterial small subunit ribosomal RNA
Source: RNAcentral
GUGGCUACAACGUGCUACAAUGGGCGGUACAAAGGGUCGCGAACCCGCGAGGGGGAGCCAAUCCCAAAAAGCCGCUCUCAGUUCGGAUUGCAGGCUGCAACUCGCCUGCAUGAAGCCGGAAUCGCUAGUAAUCGCGGAUCAGCAUGCCGCGGUGAAUACGUUCCCGGGCCUU